This 1072-nucleotide ribosomal RNA is filed under the name Tylencholaimus mirabilis. RNAcentral describes it as "LSU rRNA". It matches the Rfam family "Eukaryotic large subunit ribosomal RNA", at positions 38 to 918 of the family's 3401-position model. Lineage: Eukaryota; Metazoa; Nematoda; Enoplea; Dorylaimida; Tylencholaimidae. The record is from RNAcentral.
GCAUAUAAUUAGGCGGAGGAAAAGAAAUUAACGAAGAUUUCCUUAGUAACNGGCGAGUGAAAAGGAAUUAGUUCAGCGCUGAAUCCCUUAGCCCGUGGUUAAGGGACCUGUGGCGUGAAGGAGAGCCUAUCUGUCGGGUUAUUGCUUCGGAAGCUCCCUCGAAUGGGAUCCCAAAGCAGGUGCGAGGCCUGUGCCGAGGUUGGACCCGUCAGCCGGAGCCUCCGUAGAGUCGGGUUGCUUGAGAGUGCAGCCCUAAGCGGAAGGUAAACCCCUUCUAAGACUAAAUACGACCACGAGACCGAUAGCGAACAAGUACCGCGAGGGAAAGUUGAAAAGAACUUUGAAGAGAGAGUUCAAAAGGGCGUGAAACCGCUUAGAAGAAAACGGACAGAGCCGUCUGGUACCCUCGGGAAUCAGUCGAACGAUACGCGAAUCGACGACGGUACCAUAGCGCAAGUAUGGCCGCCGAGAAACAGUAGCGUUCGUUCGGCGCAUUUCCUGAGGGCUCGCACUGCGACCGGUAAUCCGGCCGACGAGGCUUGAGGAUUGAGGGCGAGGUACGCAAGUAUCUCGUAACCAGUCCUUUCGUUCCGACGGACCGACUUACCGAUAGCCUGGAAAUAGUACGCGUCGGCUGUAAAGCUCGUCUAGUAACGUACAGUCGGCAGAUUCGUUGGUAACCGCUCGCGGGUGCCGGUGGAUUCGGUUGAUUCGGAAGUUACGGGCGACGUUCGGCGCGUCGGCGUCAGCAGUGUCAGUGUCGGUCGCCUGUCCGACCCGUCUUGAAACACGGACCAAGGAGUCUAACAUAUGCGCGAGCUAUUGGGUGUAAAACCCAAAAGCGCAAUAAAAGUAAAAGCCGUCUUUAGUCGGCCGAGGUACGAUCCUAGGAGUAAAAUCCCUAGGCGCAGUACCGUCCCGUCCCGACCGCACGUCGGUAGGGCGGAGACAGAGCGCAUACGUCGGGACCCGAAAGAUGGUGAACUAUGCCUGAGCAGAGCGAAGCCAGAGGAAACUCUGGUGGAGGUUCGUAGCGGUUCUGACGUGCAAAUCGAUCGUCAGACUUGGGUAU